Molecule: ribosomal RNA, 494 nt
Filed under: uncultured bacterium
Lineage: Bacteria
Description: partial 16S ribosomal RNA
Rfam family: Bacterial small subunit ribosomal RNA
Source: RNAcentral
ACGAACGCUGGCGGCGUGCCUAAUACAUGCAAGUAGAACGCUGAAGGAGGAGCUUGCUCUUCUGGAUGAGUUGCGAACGGGUGAGUAACGCGUAGGUAACCUGCCUGUUAGCGGGGGAUAACUAUUGGAAACGAUAGCUAAUACCGCAUAGCAGUAGAUGUUGCAUGACAUUUACUUAAAAGGUGCAAUUGCAUCACUACCAGAUGGACCUGCGUUGUAUUAGCUAGUUGGUGGGGUAACGGCUCACCAAGGCGACGAUACAUAGCCGACCUGAGAGGGUGAUCGGCCACACUGGGACUGAGACACGGCCCAGACUGCUACGGGAGGCAGCAGUAGGGAAUCGUCGGCAAUGGACGGAAGUCUGACCGAGCAACGCCGCGUGAGUGAAGAAGGUUUUCGGAUCGUAAAGCUCGGUUGUAAGAGAAGAACGAGUGUGAGAGUGGAAAGUUCACACUGUGACGGUAGCUUAACAGAAAGGGACGGCUAACUACGUG